Synchiropus splendidus (mandarinfish) is the source of this 88-nucleotide small nucleolar RNA. RefSeq annotates it as small nucleolar RNA SNORD100. The transcript has a single exon. The record is from RefSeq and is a predicted model, not a curated record. NCBI's taxonomy places the organism in Eukaryota, Metazoa, Chordata, Actinopteri, Syngnathiformes, Callionymidae.
UGUACCACUGAUGAUAAUCUGGCUCCCUCUACUGAUGUCUCUGAGGAAAACGCCAUCUAAACCAAACCCAUUUCUUAUCUGAGGUACA